This 562-nucleotide unclassified non-coding RNA is filed under the name Hevea brasiliensis (rubber tree). Lineage: Eukaryota; Viridiplantae; Streptophyta; Magnoliopsida; Malpighiales; Euphorbiaceae. The record is from RNAcentral.
AAUCAUUUAUUAAAUAAAAGAAUUUAUUUACAUUUUUUCCGGAAUCCUAUAACAAAGUUAGUGCAAAACAAGUAUUUUGAUUCUAAAACAAAGAAACCGAAAAAGAACAAAAGAAAGCAAUUUCUUUUUCUUUCUAUAAUUUUCUUAUAUAGAUGAAAAAUCCAUAAAGCUCUCUUGCUCUGUCUCUCAACCAUCAAGAAUAAAACGAAAAAGAACUAGUGACCAGGGCCUCUGGGGCUGGGUCCUGACGAUAGGCGUUCAAGCCAACAUGCCAUGGUAUUCUUUGCCUUCUCAUAGACAGACGAGUAAGUCUCCAGAUGAUUUGCAGUGGCAAAAUCCUCUGGCAACACCCUAGUCGCCUCCACACUAACCUGGCACAAAACAGCCACCAAGAUAAAGAAAAUGGCCAGAACAGUGGUUGACUUGCUGAAACUCAUCAUCUUUUUCCAAAAUGCACUGCACUUGCUGGCUGGAAGGAAAGAACUUAAUUUUCUGUAUACGCAGAAAGAGAGAGAAAGAACUUCUGCUAGAGUGGCUGCUUUUGAGUGAUUGUCGAUGAAUG